RNAcentral lists this ribosomal RNA (833 nucleotides) under uncultured bacterium. RNAcentral describes it as "bacterial SSU rRNA". It matches the Rfam family "Bacterial small subunit ribosomal RNA", at positions 59 to 890 of the family's 1533-position model. The record is from RNAcentral.
CAGUCGAACGGGGUUUAUAUAACAGAACUCUCCGGAGGGAAGAUAUAUAAACCUAGUGGCGGACGGGUGAGUAACGCGUGGGCAACCUGCCCUGUACCGGGGGACAACAGCCAGAAAUGGCUGCUAAUACCGCAUAAGCCUGCUGUGCCGCAUGGCACAGCAGGGAAAACCACGGUGGUACAGGAUGGGCCCGCGUCUGAUUAGUUAGUUGGCAGGGUAACGGCCUACCAAGACAACGAUCAGUAGCCGGCUUGAGAGAGUGGACGGCCACAUUGGGACUGAGACACGGCCCAGACUCCUGCGGGAGGCAGCAGUGGGGAAUAUUGCACAAUGGGGGGAACCCUGAUGCAGCAAUGCCGCGUGGGUGAAGAAGCACUCCGGUGCGUAAAGCCCUGUCAGCAGGGAAGAAAAUGACAGUACCUGGACAAGAAGCCCCGGCUAACUACGUGCCAGCAGCCGCGGUAAUACGUAGGGGGCAAGCGUUAUCCGGAUUUACUGGGUGUAAAGGGAGCGCAGGCGGCGUGGCAAGUCAGAUGUGAAAACCCGGGGCCCAACCCCGGGAGUGCAUUUGAAACUGCCAUGCUGGAGUGCCGGAGAGGUAAGCGGAAUUCCUAGUGUAGCGGUGAAAUGCGUAGAUAUUAGGAGGAACACCAGUGGCGGAGGCGGCUUACUGGACGGUAACUGACGCUGAGGCUCGAAAGCGUGGGGAGCAAACAGGAUUAGAUACCCUGGUAGUCCACGCUGUAAACGAUGAAUACUAGGUACAGGGGCACAAAAGUGCUUCUGUGCCGCAGCUAACGCAAUAAGUAUUCCACCUGGGGAGUACGUUCGCA